This 383-nucleotide long non-coding RNA is filed under the name Carica papaya (papaya). RNAcentral describes it as "long non-coding RNA (CPAP_LNC016320)". The record is from RNAcentral. Lineage: Eukaryota; Viridiplantae; Streptophyta; Magnoliopsida; Brassicales; Caricaceae.
CCACACCUUUGCAUUUCAAUCAUUACACAACAUAUUUUCCUCAUUUACCAGCCUACUAGUAUCCAUGGGGAUCCAUAGGGGUCCCGUUACCCGUGAACCCUUAACAUUUAUAACCUGAUUCCAGGGCCGUCCCCACACCCCGUCCGGUAUGGGCGCCAAAACCAUGAACCUCAAUACCCCGUCCGGUAUGAGGGUAAAACGGGCCGUCCCCAUACCCCGUCCGGUAUGGGCGCCAAACACAUAAGGUCUCUAUACCCCGUCCGGUAUGAGAGACCACAUUCCCGGUAGGGUUCCCUACGGACCCGGUCCGUCCACCAUCUCCCAGGAUAUCUAGUCAGGCUGUCCACAAUAUCCACUAUCAAUUCACAUAACCUUUUUGACAU